Molecule: RNA transcript, 1574 nt
Organism: Mirounga angustirostris (Northern elephant seal)
Lineage: Eukaryota; Metazoa; Chordata; Mammalia; Carnivora; Phocidae
Gene name: dnaJ homolog subfamily A member 1-like
Exons: 2
Source: RefSeq, a predicted model, not a curated record
AGAUUGGUGAUGUUCAGGGAUAUGGCUGUAGACUUUUCUUAGGAAGAGUGGGAAUGCCUGGACUCUGCUCAGAAGGAUUUGUAUAGAGAUGUGAUGUUACAGAACUAUAGCAGCCCAAUUUCAGUGGAACGCUCGGUGAGACACGGAGGAGCGGCAGCUGCCCGAGCUGCGCCCAGCAACGCGCUCCUUCCUGCUCCCCAACACCGGCCUCUGCCCUCUCACCGGCUGUAGAAAAUGGUGAAAGAAACCACUUACUAUGAUGUUUUGGGGGUCAAACCCAAUGCCACCCAAGAGGAAUUGAAAAAGGCCUACAGGAAACUGGCCUUGAAGUAUCACCCUGAUAAGAAUCCAAAUGAAGGAGACAAGUUUAAACAGAUUUCUCAAGCUUACGAAGUACUCUCUGAUGCAAAGAAAAGGGAAUUAUAUGACAAAGGAGGAGAAUAGGCAAUUAAAGAAGGUGGAGCUGGUGGUGGUUUUGGCUCCCCCAUGGACAUCUUUGAUAUGUUUUUUGGAGGAGGAGGAAGGAUGCAGAGAGAAAGGAGAGGUAAAAAUGUUGUGCAUCAGCUCUCAGUAACCUUAGAAGAUUUAUAUAAUGGUGCAACACGAAAACUAGCUCUGCAAAAGAAUGUGAUUUGCGAUAAAUAUGAAGGCUGAGGUGGUAAGAAAGGAGCAGUCGAAUGUUGUCCCAAUUGCUGAGGUACUGGAAUGCAAAUAAGAAUUCAUCAGAUAGGACCUGGAAUGGUUCAGCAAAUUCAGUCUGUGUGCAUGGAGUGCCAGGGCCAUGGGGAACGGAUCAGUCCCAAAGAUAGAUGUAAAAGCUGCAAUGGGAGGAAGAUAGUUCGAGAGAAGAAGAUUCUAGAAGUUCAUAUUGACAAAGGCAUGAAGGAUGGCCAGAAGAUAACAUUCCAUGGUGAAGGAGACCAAGAACCAGGACUGGAACCAGGAGAUAUUAUCAUUGUUUUAGAUCAGAAGGACCACGCUGUUUUUACUCGGCGAGGAGAAGACCUUUUCAUGUGUAUGGACAUACAGCUGGUUGAAGCACUGUGCGGCUUUCAAAAGCCAAUAUCUACUCUUGACAACCGAACCAUCGUCAUCACCUCUCACCCAGGUCAAAUUGUCAAGCAUGGAGAUAUCAAGUGUGUGCUAAAUGAAGGCAUGCCAAUUUAUUGUAGACCAUAUGAGAAGGGUCGCCUAAUCAUUGAAUUUAAGGUAAACUUUCCUGAGAAUGGCUUUCUCUCUCCUGAUAAACUCUCUUUGCUGGAAAAACUCCUACCUGAGAGGAAGGAAGUAGAAGAGACUGAUGAAAUGGACCAGGUAGAACCGGGGGACUUUGAUCCAAAUCAGGAAAGAUGGCGCCAUUACAAUGGGGAAGCCUCUGAGGAUGAUGAACAUCAUUCCAGGGGUGGUGUUCAGUGUCAGACCUCUUAAUGGGGCCAGUGAAUAACACUGCUGGCAUUUUAUAUGCAGUAGUGAAUGAGUGAAGGACUGUAAUCAUAGCUCACUACUUGCUAUUGUUUUUGUUUUAAUAUUCAACUAUAGUCGUGUUUUAAAAGUUAAAUGAAGGGGCGCCUGGG